UGUGGGAGCGAGCUUGCUCGCGAUGCGGUGUGUCAGUCGAUCACCCUGCUGGCUGAUCUGACGCUAUCGCGAGCAAGCUCGCUCCCACA
RNAcentral lists this unclassified non-coding RNA (89 nucleotides) under Pseudomonas brassicacearum. The record is from RNAcentral. Lineage: Bacteria; Pseudomonadati; Pseudomonadota; Gammaproteobacteria; Pseudomonadales; Pseudomonadaceae.